GUCCCGCAGGUGGUCCUGCCGCCGGAACGCUUUGUGGCAGAUGUCGCAGGUGUAGGGCCGCUCGUCCGUGUGGGUCCGCUCGUGGAUGAGCAGGUUGUAGGACUUGGUGAAGUGGCGGCCGCAGAACUUGCAGAUGAACUCCUUUUUCGUCUUGGAGGGCAGGCGGCCCCGCGAGGGCUUCCUGUCCGGGGACAGCUUGCUGAGCCCCGAGAGGGGCGACGGCAGUCCGGGGCCCAGCUUGCCCAGCUCCCCCGCCUUCGGGGGGUCCUCCUGCGUGGCGGCCGCCGCCAGGUUGGCGAAGUCGAAGCGGGGCCGCUCCUUGUGCAGCGCCGGGAGGACGUGGGCCGCGGCGCCCUGCUUGGGGUGGAAGAGGUGCGCGGCGAAGGGCAGCGCGGGGAAGGGGAAGCGCGAGUCCACCAGGCCCUGCGCGGCCGCCAUCUCCGUGAGGGCGGAGCGGGCGAUCUCGUGCACGCCGGGGUAGCCCAACGUCCAGUGGUUCAUGUGCAUGGUUUGCACGGCGCUCAGCCCGUACAGCCCUUGCAGCUGGUCCACGGCCGCGGGGAAGGUGUUGACGGCCUGGAGGAAGGAGUAGUUGGUGAGCUGCAGGGACGGGUGCAGCGGGAUGGGCGCCGGCAGCGCCUUGCUGCCCAUCGUGGCGGGGCUCCGCGGGGCCGUCGGCGCGGGGCGAGGUCCGCAGCGGGCAGCUCCUGCCGGGCCUCCGGCACCUUCACGGGGACAUUAGAUCCACAGCGGGGCCGCUCGGCGGGCCCGGGGCAUGGCGGGGAGGGCCGGGCAGGGCCGGCCGGGCCGGGCGGAACGGGGGGGGGCUGUGGCCGCGGCGCUCCCGGGGCGCGGGGCGCUGACGGCCGCCUCCCGCCCGCAGCCCGCUGCUGCCUUCGAGCCCGGCGAGGCUCGGCGCGCUCUGAGCCGCCCCCUGCCCGGUCCAUCACAUUUACAGCGCUGAGUGGCGGGGAGAGCUGUCCCCGCCCGCCCGCCGCAGGCCCACCCCGCGGCGCGCCCCGACGGCCCGCCCCCGGCCCGCC
This 1043-nucleotide long non-coding RNA is filed under the name Gallus gallus (chicken). Lineage: Eukaryota; Metazoa; Chordata; Aves; Galliformes; Phasianidae. The record is from RNAcentral.